Molecule: transfer RNA, 543 nt
Filed under: Bradyrhizobium sp. S3.133
Lineage: Bacteria; Pseudomonadati; Pseudomonadota; Alphaproteobacteria; Hyphomicrobiales; Nitrobacteraceae
Description: partial 16S-23S ribosomal RNA intergenic spacer
Rfam family: tRNA (bases 63-135)
Source: RNAcentral
CGGAAGUUCAAGUCUUCCCAGGCCCACCACACUCAUCGAGUGAGCAUUCGUCUUCUGGUUACGGGGCCAUAGCUCAGCUGGGAGAGCGCGUGCUUUGCAAGCAUGAGGUCGUCGGUUCGAUCCCGUCUGGCUCCACCAGAUGGUUUGAUCACCGGCUACUCAUACCGUCGUCCGCGAAACAUCACUUCGCACUUACUAGUCCGGAUGGACAGUAAGCUGCGUGAUUUCUGACAUCGUAAAGAGGAGAUCGAUCCGAGUUGGAUCGGGCAACAAGUGAUUGUUGCGCGAUACUUCAUUAUCUCCGGAUCAUUUCGGCGCUCGUGCGUCUUCAAGGGUAGCUCACAAGGCUGCAUUGAAAGACGAGCGAGUUGUAAAUGAUCCUUUUAGCGAAGCUUGACCGCCUCGCUAUCGGAACGAUCUUACGAAGCAAGCUGGUCUUUCUAAUCAUUGUCCGGCUGCAGAUAGCGUUCAUCGAGGGCGCGUACCGCAAGGUAGUUCUGCAGACAACAUUCUGCCGAGUGUGUGGACAUUGAUAAUGAGAGC